This 497-nucleotide ribosomal RNA is filed under the name uncultured bacterium. RNAcentral describes it as "bacterial SSU rRNA". It matches the Rfam family "Bacterial small subunit ribosomal RNA", at positions 28 to 523 of the family's 1533-position model. The record is from RNAcentral.
GAUGAACGCUAGCGGCAGGCUUAACACAUGCAAGUCGAGGGGUAGAGGAAGCUUGCUUCCUUGAGACCGGCGCACGGGUGCGUAACGCGUAUACAAUCUACCUUUUACAGAGGGAUAGCCCCAGAGAAAUUUGGAUUAAUACCUCAUAGUAUUUUCGGAUCGCAUGAUUUGAUUAUUAAAGUUCCAACGGUAAAAGAUGAGUAUGCGUCCCAUUAGCUAGAUGGUAAGGUAACGGCUUACCAUGGCAAUGAUGGGUAGGGGUCCUGAGAGGGAGAUCCCCCACACUGGUACUGAGACACGGACCAGACUCCUACGGGAGGCAGCAGUGAGGAAUAUUGGACAAUGGGCGCAAGCCUGAUCCAGCCAUGCCGCGUGCAGGAAUAAGGUCCUAUGGAUUGUAAACUGCUUUUAUACAGGAAGAAACACACCCUCGUGAGGGUACUUGACGGUACUGUAUGAAUAAGGACCGGCUAACUCCGUGCCAGCAGCCGCGGUAA